Molecule: non-coding RNA, 321 nt
Organism: Erythranthe guttata (spotted monkey flower)
Lineage: Eukaryota; Viridiplantae; Streptophyta; Magnoliopsida; Lamiales; Phrymaceae
Source: RefSeq, a predicted model, not a curated record
UUUUAUAUAUAAUAAGUUGCUUAUUCCUGAAUUAUUUACAUGUUUUGAUGUGCUUGUACAUUAAUGUUAUCUGCAAUAUUAUUGAUGGAUCGUAUUUGAUUCAUAGAUCGAGAAGGUUGGUUGAAGAUUUAAGAAACAAAAGAUGCUAGCUUUUUCAGCCUAUUAAGAUUCAGAGUCGUACACUUAUUUUGCCACAGAAGGUGCCAAGAAAAUUGAGAACUACCUUACAAAUGCAAGGAGUAGAAGGAUGUGAAUAAUCUCUUUGCUUGCUAAUCGUCUACACUUUAAAGGGUCAUAUUAAGGAAGAAUAAAAGAGUUGAA